AUUGAACGCUGGCGGCAUGCCUUACACAUGCAAGUCGAACGGCAGCGCGGGGCAACCUGGCGGCGAGUGGCGAACGGGUGAGUAACAUAUCGGAACAUACCCUAGAGUGGGGGAUAACGUAGCGAAAGUUACGCUAAUACCGCAUACGCACUAAGGUGGAAAGUGGGGGAUUCGCAAGAACCUCAUGCUCAUGGAGUGGCCGAUAUCUGAUUAGCUAGUUGGUGAGGUAAAGGCUCACCAAGGCGACGAUCAGUAGCUGGUUUGAGAGAACGACCAGCCACACUGGAACUGAGACACGGUCCAGACUCCUACGGGAGGCAGCAGUGGGGAAUUUUGGGACAAUGGACGCAAGUCUGAUCCAGCCAUUCCGCGUCGUGUGAAGAAGGUCUUCGGAUUGUAAAGCACUUUAAGUUGGGAGGAAGGGUAGUAACCUAAUACGUUGCUACUUUGACGUUACCGACAGAAUAAGCAACCGGCU
This 478-nucleotide ribosomal RNA is filed under the name uncultured bacterium. RNAcentral's name for it is "bacterial SSU rRNA". It matches the Rfam family "Bacterial small subunit ribosomal RNA", at positions 30 to 498 of the family's 1533-position model. The record is from RNAcentral.